AGCUCUUUGGUCUAGAGGUAUCAUUCUCGCUUUGGGCUCAAAAAUGCGAGAGGCCCCGGGUUCGAAUCCCGGAAGAGCCC
This 80-nucleotide transfer RNA is filed under the name Hypoxylon argillaceum. Its description in RNAcentral is "tRNA-Pro". It matches the Rfam family "tRNA". From Rfam's summary of the family: Transfer RNA (tRNA) molecules are approximately 80 nucleotides in length. Their secondary structure includes four short double-helical elements and three loops (D, anti-codon, and T loops). The record is from RNAcentral. Lineage: Eukaryota; Fungi; Ascomycota; Sordariomycetes; Xylariales; Hypoxylaceae.